UGUGGGGUUGACAGUGCUGGGACACAUGUGGCCUGUGAUGAGGUACUGGGUACGUCUUGUUCCUGGGACUCCCAGGACCCAAUGACAAGUACAACACCAGUGCUGUAGCUGGGACAAAACUUCUGCCUCUUCCCCAGAGACUCGUUAAAAACGUCACAUGGAGGGAGAGGGAAAGGGGAACGAUGAAUUUCUCCAACCAUCCUGUCCCACUGGAAAGGCUGGCUCUGCUGUCCUGUCCUCCCUAAGCAUCUUGGGAACUGGAGUGACGGUUCGUGGCUGUUUUGAGCCUCGGCUCUGAGAUCAGAGCACAAACCAGUUCUUCCUCGCCUUUCAUCAUCGCUGUGCCAGGGCAGGAGUGAGGUCCGGCUCUGCUGCCACUACCUUACGUGGAGGCAAGAGCAGGGGAAGGUGCUUUGGCUUCUUCUCCAAGCAGAGCUCCUCCAGGUUUGCUCCCUUGUGCCUAGGGCAAGGCACUCCAUCAGGCACUGGAUGGGGCACGGCAGUCAAAUGGGCUGGCAUGGCUGGGAACCUCACCUGGGGGAGGAGUGGCUGCAGUGGAAAAGGCAAUUAUGGUUAAUUUGUUGUUAAUAAAAAACACCCUCUUCCAA
This is a long non-coding RNA of Chiroxiphia lanceolata (lance-tailed manakin), 608 nucleotides long. RefSeq lists it as uncharacterized. NCBI's taxonomy places the organism in Eukaryota, Metazoa, Chordata, Aves, Passeriformes, Pipridae. The transcript is spliced from 2 exons. The record is from RefSeq and is a predicted model, not a curated record.